RNAcentral lists this unclassified non-coding RNA (346 nucleotides) under soil metagenome. RNAcentral describes it as "partial contains 5.8S ribosomal RNA, internal transcribed spacer 2, and large subunit ribosomal RNA". The stretch from base 1 to 120 matches the Rfam family "5.8S ribosomal RNA", at positions 35 to 154 of the family's 154-position model. The record is from RNAcentral.
GAUGAAGAACGCAGCAAAAUGCGAUAAGUAAUGUGAAUUGCAGAAUUCAGUGAAUCAUCGAAUCUUUGAACGCACAUUGCGCCCGCUGGUAUUCCGGCGGGCAUGCCUGUUCGAGCGUCAUUUCAACCCUCAAGCCCCCGGGUUUGGUGUUGGGGAUCGGCUCCGCCUUCUGGCGGUGCCGCCCCCGAAAUACAUUGGCGGUCUCGCUGCAGCCUCCAUUGCGUAGUAGCUAACACCUCGCAACUGGAACGCGGCGCGGCCAUGCCGUAAAACCCCAACUUCUGAAUGUUGACCUCGGAUCAGGUAGGAAUACCCGCUGAACUUAAGCAUAUCAAUAAGCGGAGGA